RNAcentral lists this microRNA precursor (67 nucleotides) under Caenorhabditis brenneri. RNAcentral describes it as "microRNA cbn-mir-244 precursor". Its record names the gene cbn-mir-244. The record is from miRBase by way of RNAcentral. Lineage: Eukaryota; Metazoa; Nematoda; Chromadorea; Rhabditida; Rhabditidae.
UCUUUGGUUGUACAAAGUGGUAUGGCAAUUUCAUUAAAAAUGCUCAUACCGCUUUUCAGCUGAAGGA